GUUGUAGCUCAGCGGUAGAGCACUUGCUUGGCAUGCGUGAGGCCCUGGGUUCCAUGCUCAGCACCACA
Molecule: transfer RNA, 68 nt
Filed under: Marmota monax (woodchuck)
Lineage: Eukaryota; Metazoa; Chordata; Mammalia; Rodentia; Sciuridae
Description: tRNA.Ala
Rfam family: tRNA (bases 3-63)
About the family: Transfer RNA (tRNA) molecules are approximately 80 nucleotides in length. Their secondary structure includes four short double-helical elements and three loops (D, anti-codon, and T loops).
Source: RNAcentral